CAGCGCCGCGGUAAUACAGAGGGUGCGAGCGUUAAUCGGAUUUACUGGGCGUAAAGCGUGCGUAGGCGGCUUCUUAAGUCGGAUGUGAAAUCCCUGAGCUUAACUUAGGAAUUGCAUUCGAUACUGGGAAGCUAGAGUAUGGGAGAGGAUGGUAGAAUUCCAGGUGUAGCGGUGAAAUGCGUAGAGAUCUGGAGGAAUACCGAUGGCGAAGGCAGCCAUCUGGCCUAAUACUGACGCUGAGGUACGAAAGCAUGGGGAGCAAACAGGAUUAGAUACCCCCGUAGUCCCUGUCUCUUAUACA
This 301-nucleotide ribosomal RNA is filed under the name uncultured bacterium. Its description in RNAcentral is "partial 16S ribosomal RNA". It matches the Rfam family "Bacterial small subunit ribosomal RNA", at positions 509 to 808 of the family's 1533-position model. The record is from RNAcentral.